This 415-nucleotide long non-coding RNA is filed under the name Homo sapiens (human). RNAcentral describes it as "long non-coding RNA NONHSAT251744". Lineage: Eukaryota; Metazoa; Chordata; Mammalia; Primates; Hominidae. The record is from RNAcentral.
AAAUUUAUUCCCUGAUACAUGUUUUUAAAAAUGAAUCUUGCUGCCCUUAGAAAAUGAACCCCCGAACAAGGUAAGGUCGAGCUGGCCCCUCGUGUCAUCCGACUUUGCGUUGUGGCCCUGCCUGCAGAAACGUGUGCUCUGCUACAGCCCUGGGAGGAGGGGCCGGGCUCCCAACUCCUGCCCCGCUUCUAGCACAUGCUGUGCUUGGCCACUUCUCUGCCUCUUAGUUUAACAGCAGCACUGGGCAAGGUUUGCCCUCUGCACACCAGACCGGCUUCCCAAGAACCGGGGAAGAGGAGAGGGCAUGCCUGGGGCCUGAGCUUAGUGGGCCGGGUGGAGGCAGGAGGUACUGCAUGGAGGAGCGUGGACAGUGGCAUGCAGGAGGCCAGUCAUUCUGCGGUUUUAGCUGGAGGUU